This 868-nucleotide ribosomal RNA is filed under the name uncultured Proteus sp. Its description in RNAcentral is "bacterial SSU rRNA". It matches the Rfam family "Bacterial small subunit ribosomal RNA", at positions 53 to 934 of the family's 1533-position model. Lineage: Bacteria; Pseudomonadati; Pseudomonadota; Gammaproteobacteria; Enterobacterales; Morganellaceae. The record is from RNAcentral.
ACCAUGCAAGUCGAACGAAGUUUUUCUUUCGGGAGGAACUUAGUGGCGGACCGGUGAGUAACGCGUGGGUAACCUGCCCUGUACAGGGGGACAACAGCUGGAAACGGCUGCUAAUACCGCAUAAGCCCUUAGCACUGCAUGGUGCAUAGGGAAAAGGAGCAAUCCGGUACAGGAUGGACCCGCGUCUGAUUAGCCAGUUGGCAGGGUAACGGCCUACCAAAGCGACGAUCAGUAGCCGAUCUGAGAGGAUGUACGGCCACAUUGGGACUGAGACACGGCCCAGACUCCUACGGGAGGCAGCAGUGGGGAAUAUUGCACAAUGGAGGGAACUCUGAUGCAGCGACGCCGCGUGAGUGAAGAAGUAUUUCGGUAUGUAAAGCUCUAUCAGCAGGGAAGAAAAUGACGGUACCUGACUAAGAAGCACCGGCUAAAUACGUGCCAGCAGCCGCGGUAAUACGUAUGGUGCAAGCGUUAUCCGGAUUUACUGGGUGUAAAGGGAGCGUAGGUGGCAAGGCAAGCCAGAAGUGAAAACCCGGGGCUCAACCGCGGGAUUGCUUUUGGAACUGUCAUGCUAGAGUGCAGGAGGGGUGAGCGGAAUUCCUAGUGUAGCGGUGAAAUGCGUAGAUAUUAGGAGGAACACCGGAGGCGAAGGCGGCUCACUGGACUGUAACUGACACUGAGGCUCGAAAGCGUGGGGAGCAAACAGGAUUAGAUACCCUGGUAGUCCACGCGGUAAACGAUGAAUACUAGAUGUCGGGUAGCAUAGCUAUUCGGUGUCGUCGCAAACGCAAUAAGUAUUCCACCUGGGGAGUACGUUCGCAAGAAUGAAACUCAAAAGGAAUUGACGGGGACCCCGCACAAAGCGGUG